RNAcentral lists this ribosomal RNA (774 nucleotides) under uncultured Neocallimastigales. RNAcentral's name for it is "partial large subunit ribosomal RNA". It matches the Rfam family "Eukaryotic large subunit ribosomal RNA", at positions 23 to 646 of the family's 3401-position model. The record is from RNAcentral. Lineage: Eukaryota; Fungi; Neocallimastigomycota; Neocallimastigomycetes; Neocallimastigales.
AGAGAGAGACAUGCGCGCAUAUCAAUAAGCGGAGGAAAAGAAACUAACAAGGAUUUCCCCUAGUAACGGCGAGUGAAGCGGGAAGAGCUCAAAUUUGAAAUCUUAAAGGGUUUCCCUUUACGAAUUGUAGUUUAAAGAAGUGUUUUCUGUUGAGGUUUUGGUAAAAGUUCUUUGGAAUAGGACAUCAUAGAGGGUGAGAAUCCCGUAUUUGACCUUUACUUUCAACUUUGUGAUACACUUUCAAAGAGUCGGAUUGUUUGGGAAUGCAGUCCAAAAUGGGUGGUAAAUUUCAUCUAAAGCUAAAUAUUGGCGAGAGACCGAUAGCGAACAAGUACCGUGAGGGAAAGAUGAAAAGAACUUUGAAAAGAGAGUUAAACAGUACGUGAAAUUGUCAAAAGGGAAGCGUUUGACACCAGUGUUGUUUUUCUGAAAAUCAAUUAAAGAACUGUUUAUGCUAAGUUGUUUAGACUUUAUCAGCUAACUGUUUAGUUUUGAGCUUUUCUUUAAUGCACUUUUCAGUUAACAAGUCAACAUCAAUUUCUUUUGCUGUAAAAAAGCUUGAGGAAGGUGGCUUGAGAUUCGUCUUAAGUGUUUAUAGCCUCUUGCCUAUGCAGUCGGAGAGAUUGAGGUCUGCAGCGUAGAUCCUUCGGGGCUAAAUGCAUUUGUGCUAAGUUAUAGCAUUUAUAGACAACUUGUUGACUAUGAUUUGUCUUGUAGCUUACUCGCUUAUGUUAUUUUACCUACGCUUAGGAUGUUGACGCAUGAGAUAUACGC